Molecule: long non-coding RNA, 1845 nt
Organism: Helianthus annuus (common sunflower)
Lineage: Eukaryota; Viridiplantae; Streptophyta; Magnoliopsida; Asterales; Asteraceae
Exons: 6
Source: RefSeq, a predicted model, not a curated record
GCUCUAACUCUCCUUCUCCAAUUGUAAAACACUCUGUCUCCCCAAAACUUAUGGUAGUUACAGUAGUUACAGGUUUCAUCUUUCAAAUUCAUGAUUUCAAGAACCAAAUCUUUUAAUUUCUUCUCGUUUCAGUUCAAAAUCAUGCCACCUUACAUCCAUCUGCUUAUUCAACUCCUCCCAAAAUGCCACCCUUUCAUUCUCCACCCGCUUCACCAUCACCCCACCCCACUCCCUCCCCACUGCCUCCCCGGCGACGGUAUCGCAUUUGGGGGAGAGAUACUAUCACAUCCUCAUUUAAUCUCAACGAAACCCUAACCAAUGGAACCUACAAAUUAACCACUAUUAUGAAUCCUUGUUAAAUCAAUUUUUCGAUGAAUUCUUCCUUCGCACUUCAAUUGGCCUCCAGAUUUGUCUUCCUCGCCCCAAAUUUCUGAAGAAUCUCUUUUGGAUGUUGGUUUUCAAUUGCAUAAAGAGGUGAUUCAGGUGGAAUCGUCUACCUCUGAUGAGCGGCAAACAAAAGCGUAGGUCGAGCUUAACCCAAAUAUAGAGCGAAGGUGUUCUAAUGUUCUGCCCACAGUUUUCUCGGCUAAAGAUUGGUUGAUAAAGAGAAAUUCCAGGUACGUAUGUGAGGAGGGAAUGUUCCCUAAAAGAACGAGAACUUUUAUGCGGGCGGCUCAUUGAUCGGCUUAUACGACCAUUUUUCCCUGCUGGAUUUUAUCAUGAGGGUCAGGUGAUGUCUAGUGUGCUUUCUUCAAAUGAGAAACAAGUUCCAGAUGUAAUGUGUUCUGCACUUGCUAUGUUUAAGUAUUUUGCUAUUACUUAAGUUUCCUCAACUUAAUUUGAAGGUUACGUUCAUAUCAAUUUAUGAUAUAUGAACAGGUGAAGGUGCCCUUUACUAGGGCUGUUAACGAGCCGAGUCAAGCCGAGCAAGGCCUAGCUCGAGCUCGGCUCGGCUCGAGCUCGAAUUAUAAAUCGAGCUGAGGUUUAGGGCUCGAGCUCGACUCGAUUAUAAAUUCGAGCCGGCUCGAUUUAGCUCGAUCUAAUCAAGAACAGUUAAGUUAACAAGUAUAUAAGCACUCAUACAUGAUUUGAUUGCAACGUAAUUAAGCCAAAGACUUAAAUAUGUAACUUUUUUUGGCCAAAGAAUAAAAUAUGUAAGUAUAGCUUAUUAUUCUUUUGUUGGUUUCACCUUGAUUUUUAUAGGGGAGGUGUUCCCUCAGUGUUUGUGUUCUCUGCGAUGUGAGACAAAAGUGAUUGUAGGAUAAUCAAAGUUUAUGUAUUAGAAUCAUAUUAUUAGUUAUUUAUUGAUACUGAUAGUGUAUGUUUCAGAAUCAUAUUAUUAGUUCUUAUCAGUUCUUUAUUUGAUCUCAGUUACAUCAUCUGCAAAACACAUACACAUAGUUGGAUAGUCAAAGUGUACACAUCAGAAUCAUAUAAGAAUUCACUAGAUUCGUAAUUUUAAUGAUCUGCAACAAUGUUACUUACAAAAAUGGCGUCAACUAGUGAAUCCAUCACGGAACCACCAUAAAAAGGAUGCUGUUGUCAUGCAAAGGGAAGUCGACUAGAAGGGUGAUAGCAAAACUUAGAUAUGUGGAGCUCUAUCAUUCAGCUAACAUUGUAUCGAGGGAAUGAGAGAAGGUUGUGUUGUUACAACUUGCAAGUGCGGCUAGGAGUGACAGUUUGAGACAAAAGUAUUGUUGCAAGUGCUCCUAGGAGUAAUGCAAGUUAUGUUGGAGUUGCUGCACAUUUGUAUAUAUCUUUUGAUUAGAACUUAGAAGUUUAUGUAUCUAGUAUUUAAAUUUAAAACUUAUGCAUGGGUUUUGGUUUUUUGGGUUUUUGAUGUUA